GACGAACGCUGGCGGCGUGCUUAACACAUGCAAGUCGAACGGAAAGGCCCUGCUUUUGUGGGGUGCUCGAGUGGCGAACGGGUGAGUAACACGUGAGUAACCUGCCCUUGACUUUGGGAUAACUUCAGGAAACUGGGGCUACUACCGGAUAGGAGCUCCUGCUGCAUGGUGGGGGUUGGAAAGUUUCGGCGGUUGGGGAUGGACUCGCGGCUUAACAGCUUGUUGGUGGGGUAGUUGCUUACCAAGGCAUUGACGGGUAGCCGGCCUGGGAGGGGGGACGGGCACAAUGCGCCUGCGGUACGGAGCAGAGUGCUACGGUAGGCAGUGGUGGGGAACAUUGCACAGUGGGGGGAAGUCUGAUGCAGAAACGUUGCGUUCGGGAUGACGGUCUUCUUGUUGUAAACCGCUUUAGGCUGUUACGAAGCGUGAGUGACGUUAAUGGGAAAAGAAGCACCGGCUAACUACGUG
RNAcentral lists this ribosomal RNA (468 nucleotides) under uncultured bacterium. RNAcentral describes it as "partial 16S ribosomal RNA". It matches the Rfam family "Bacterial small subunit ribosomal RNA", at positions 28 to 507 of the family's 1533-position model. The record is from RNAcentral.